Unclassified non-coding RNA from Pongo abelii (Sumatran orangutan), 148 nucleotides. It matches the Rfam family "Metazoan signal recognition particle RNA". From Rfam's summary of the family: The signal recognition particle (SRP) is a universally conserved ribonucleoprotein. It is involved in the co-translational targeting of proteins to membranes. The record is from Ensembl. NCBI's taxonomy places the organism in Eukaryota, Metazoa, Chordata, Mammalia, Primates, Hominidae.
GCCAGGCGUGGUGGUGGGCGCCUGUAGUCCCAGCUACUUGGGAGGCUGAGGCAGGAGAAUUGCUUGAACCCGGGAGGUGGAGGUUGCAGUGAGCCGAGAUCGCACCACUGCCCUCCAGCCUGGGUGACAGAGCGAGACUCUGUCUCAA